CCUACGGGUGGCAGCAGUGAGGAAUAUUGGUCAAUGGGCGAGAGCCUGAACCAGCCAAGUCGCGUGAAGGAUGACGGCCCUACGGGUUGUAAACUUCUUUUGUCAGGGAGCAAUUGGGUCCACGCGUGGGCUUAGCGAGAGUACCUGAAGAAAAAGCAUCGGCUAACUACGUGCCAGCAGCCGCGGUAAUACGUAGGGGGCAAGCGUUAUCCGGAUUUACUGGGUGUAAAGGGAGCGUAGACGGUGCGCCAAGUCUGGAGUGAAAUGCCGCAGCUUAACUGCGGAACUGCUUUGGAAACUGGCGAACUAGAGUGCGGGAGGGGUAAGCGGAAUUCCUAGUGUAGCGGUGAAAUGCGUAGAUAUCACGAAGAACUCCGAUUGCGAAGGCAGUUCACUGGACUGCAACUGACACUGAGGCUCGAAAGUGUGGGUAUCAAACAGGAUUAGAUACCCGAGUAGUC
This 461-nucleotide ribosomal RNA is filed under the name uncultured bacterium. Its description in RNAcentral is "partial 16S ribosomal RNA". It matches the Rfam family "Bacterial small subunit ribosomal RNA", at positions 338 to 795 of the family's 1533-position model. The record is from RNAcentral.